GACCCCCAGGUUCAAGUG
RNAcentral lists this small nuclear RNA (18 nucleotides) under Arabidopsis thaliana (thale cress). Its description in RNAcentral is "snRNA_04696". Lineage: Eukaryota; Viridiplantae; Streptophyta; Magnoliopsida; Brassicales; Brassicaceae. The record is from RNAcentral.